Molecule: long non-coding RNA, 542 nt
Organism: Zonotrichia leucophrys gambelii
Lineage: Eukaryota; Metazoa; Chordata; Aves; Passeriformes; Passerellidae
Exons: 2
Source: RefSeq, a predicted model, not a curated record
CACGGGCCACCACCGGCAUGCUCCUUUGUUCUGCUUUCCCUCCCGGCAUCUCACUGGCGAAAGCAGCGGGCUCGGCAAGAGCGGAGCCGAUGAAGAAUGCCCCCCAGCCCCCAUCCCCCCCGCGCCGCAGUGCUAAAUAACUGAACGCCAUUAGGCAGAGAACCCUCCCUUGCUUGGGAGUGUUGGAGAAGAAGUGGAGGUCUGGCGUCCUGGACUGCGCGGGUCCAGGGGAUGAUGGAUGAGGAGCUGGAGAGAGCAGAAUGGUACAGAAUCACAGAAAUCACAGAAUCAGUUCGGUUGGAAAAGGUCUCUGAGAUCAUCAAGUCCUGUCUUUGGCCGAACACCACCACCGUGUGAACGUGACCGUGACACAAGUGCCAUGUCCAGUCUUUUCUCAAACGCCUCCGGGGACCGUCACUCCACAGCAGCAGCAGCUCCUCACACGCCUUCCUUUGAAGCAGUCCCAGCAGCCUGAUUUCUGUGCACGUUGCAAAGCCCUCCCUUUCAGCACAUGAUGGAAUAAAUUUAGAUUCCUUGUGUUA